AAGUCGUAACAAGGUUUCCGUAGGUGAACCUGCGGAAGGAUCAUUGACACGUAUCCUUCCCCCGUCUACGUGAGAACAUUGGAACAGUUACAAUCGAGCGGUAGUUUCAUAGGCAUUGUUUCCCCAAGCAGUCAGUGUCUGAAAGUGUCACUGAUUGUGCAAGGAUAGCGCUUCAACGAUUCCUGUAGACCGUACACUCGGGCAGGAGCUAUGCCAAAGGGUCCCCAUGCCCCCUUAUAACCCCACAGUUUAAUGUGAAGCUCAAUGUAAUACAUUGGGUAAAAAAACCGAACAACUGUUAACAAUGGAUAUCUUGGUUCUC
RNAcentral lists this unclassified non-coding RNA (322 nucleotides) under fungal sp. RNAcentral describes it as "partial internal transcribed spacer region". The stretch from base 1 to 46 matches the Rfam family "Eukaryotic small subunit ribosomal RNA", at positions 1786 to 1831 of the family's 1831-position model. The record is from RNAcentral. Lineage: Eukaryota; Fungi.